AGGACGAACGCUGGCGGCGUGCUUAACACAUGCAAGUCGAGCGGAAAGGCCCUUCGGGGUACUCGAGCGGCGAACGGGUGAGUAACACGUGAGUAACCUGCCCUAGGCUUUGGGAUAACCCUCGGAAACGGGGGCUAAUACCGGAUAUUCAUUCUUGGCGGCAUCGUCGGGUGUGGAAAGUUUUUCGGCCUGGGAUGGGCUCGCGGCCUAUCAGCUUGUUGGUGGGGUGAUGGCCUACCAAGGCGACGACGGGUAGCCGG
This 260-nucleotide ribosomal RNA is filed under the name uncultured soil bacterium. RNAcentral's name for it is "partial 16S ribosomal RNA". It matches the Rfam family "Bacterial small subunit ribosomal RNA", at positions 26 to 290 of the family's 1533-position model. The record is from RNAcentral.